Molecule: ribosomal RNA, 405 nt
Filed under: uncultured bacterium
Lineage: Bacteria
Description: partial 16S ribosomal RNA
Rfam family: Bacterial small subunit ribosomal RNA
Source: RNAcentral
UGGGGAAUAUUGCACAAUGGGCGCAAGCCUGAUGCAGCCAUGCCGCGUGUGUGAAGAAGGCCUUCGGGUUGUAAAGCACUUUCAGCGAGGAGGAAGGUGGUGAACUUAAUACGUUCAUCAAUUGACGUUACUCGCAGAAGAAGCACCGGCUAACUCCGUGCCAGCAGCCGCGGUAAUACGGAGGGUGCAAGCGUUAAUCGGAAUUACUGGGCGUAAAGCGCACGCAGGCGGUUUGUUAAGUCAGAUGUGAAAUCCCCGGGCUCAACCUGGGAACUGCAUUUGAAACUGGCAAGCUAGAGUCUCGUAGAGGGGGGUAGAAUUCCAGGUGUAGCGGUGAAAUGCGUAGAGAUCUGGAGGAAUACCGGUGGCGAAGGCGGCCCCCUGGACGAAGACUGACGCUCAGGU